Hucho hucho (huchen) is the source of this 61-nucleotide microRNA precursor. The record is from Ensembl. Lineage: Eukaryota; Metazoa; Chordata; Actinopteri; Salmoniformes; Salmonidae.
UUCAAGUAAUCCAGGAUAGGCUGGUUCCCGCCAGCACGGCCUAUUCUCGAUUACUUGUUUC